RNAcentral lists this ribosomal RNA (291 nucleotides) under uncultured prokaryote. Its description in RNAcentral is "partial 16S ribosomal RNA". It matches the Rfam family "Bacterial small subunit ribosomal RNA", at positions 505 to 796 of the family's 1533-position model. The record is from RNAcentral.
GUGCCACAGCCGCGGUAAUACGUAGGUGGCAAGCGUUAUCCGGAAUUAUUGGGCGUAAAGCGCGCGCAGGUGGUUUCUUAAGUCUGAUGUGAAAGCCCACGGCUCAACCGUGGAGGGUCAUUGGAAACUGGGAGACUUGAGUGCAGAAGAGGAGAGUGGAAUUCCACGUGUAGCGGUGAAAUGCGUAGAGAUGUGGAGGAACACCAGUGGCGAAGGCGACUCUCUGGUCUGUAACUGACGCUGAGGAGCGAGAGCGUGGGGAGCGAACAGGAUUAGAUACCCUGGUAGUCC